CCCAAUCCAAGACAAAGUAAACAAAAAAUUAGGAUUCUGAUUGACAAUCCAUACUUUCAUUUAGUCUAAGUAAACACCCUACUCCCACUCCCACUCCACACUCCUAAUCCAAGAAUUCCCACUCCUCAGGAUUCCCACUCUAAUCCAAAAAGUAAACGCAGCAUAAUUCUAUUACAUACCACCGUUCAAAAUUCUUUACUCAUUUAGAGCCGCAUUUACUCUCAAGUAUUGGUAUGUGUAUUUUCUGUCAGAUAUUAAAUAAUAAUUAAUUUUUAACCCCAUCACUAAUGUAUUAAUUAUUAAUGCCAAGACACAUUAGAUGUCAACACACAAAUUUAGUAUCCCAACUUUAUAAACACUGCAUCACUCAUUAUAAAUUCAUAAACUGAAAAGGUUAAUAAACACAAUAGGCAGGGAACUAGGGAAUUGGAAUUACCUCCUUCCUUGAGACCCAAUGCUGAUCUCAAGCCUUUGCCUGGAGGAAUGACAGCUCCUCCGAGCCCAGUGGGCUCAUCUGGCUCAUCAACGAACUUACCACGGUCACCCAAAGCUCCAAUUGCUCCAAGCAAGGUGAACAGGAUGAAAAAUAAAAGCAGUGGCUCUGCUUCAUAGAUUGGAAUUCCGGUCUCCAAAUUCAACUGAGCUAGAAUCCCCUUCCCAGUUAUUCCCUCACCCAACAAGGAAGCCUACACAAAACAUAGCUUGCUAAUUAAUUAAUAAAACCCUUGGAAAAUAUGAUCUUAACAGAAGUUUAAUUUUCCUUUUUCUCUCCUAGAUUUUUCAAGUCUACUCGGCCUCCGUCCGAAUUGUGGUACAAAUCCUAAAGGAAGCCUGGAAGCCUUCAAGAAAAAUGAUAAAUCUAAAUCUAACUGAUAUAUGUACAAUUUUGAUGAGCAAAGAGACAGAUGUUGUUUUCAGUAUAGAAUUUGGAAAAAAGUAGUUGAGUACUCACAGCAAAGCCAAUCAUGGCAACACGACCAACAAAGAGCUCAUUUUGCUUUGUAAAACCAAAUCCUCCAGAGGUCCCAAAGAUACCAUCCUCAACUUUUGGCUUUGAUUCAACCUGUAAGUUUAAAUUAAAAUAUACCCAUAAACAACUAGCUAAGGGCCAAUAUUAAAUCAAAACAAUCUUACCAACAAUAAAAACGGAAACAAGAAAACCAAAUUAAACCUUCUUGGUCUUGGGUGGAGCUUUGGUUUUAGAUUUGAAGAGGGCAACAGUAGAAAAAGCUUUAGAUGAUGAAGAAGCCGCAGCAGCAGUUAAAGAUUCAUUAGAGAGUGGGUUGAACAUAAGAUGAGAG
RNAcentral lists this long non-coding RNA (1301 nucleotides) under Citrus sinensis (sweet orange). Its description in RNAcentral is "long non-coding RNA (CSIN_LNC001459)". The record is from RNAcentral. Lineage: Eukaryota; Viridiplantae; Streptophyta; Magnoliopsida; Sapindales; Rutaceae.